UACGGGGGGGGCAAGCGUUGUUCGGAAUUACUGGGCGUAAAGGGCUUGUAGGUGGCCAACUAAGUCAGACGUGAAAUCCCUCGGCUUAACCGGGGAACUGCGUCUGAUACUGGAUGGCUAGAGUGCGGGAGAGGGAUGCGGAAUUCCAGGUGUAGCGGUGAAAUGCGUAGAUAUCUGGAGGAACACCGGUGGCGAAGGCGGCAUCCUGGACCACGACUGACACUGAAAAGCGAAAGCCAGGGGAGCAAACGGG
RNAcentral lists this ribosomal RNA (253 nucleotides) under uncultured bacterium. Its description in RNAcentral is "partial 16S ribosomal RNA". It matches the Rfam family "Bacterial small subunit ribosomal RNA", at positions 524 to 776 of the family's 1533-position model. The record is from RNAcentral.